RNAcentral lists this ribosomal RNA (2462 nucleotides) under human metagenome. RNAcentral describes it as "bacterial LSU rRNA". It matches the Rfam family "Bacterial large subunit ribosomal RNA", at positions 1 to 2465 of the family's 2925-position model. The record is from RNAcentral.
AAAAGCUAUUAAGGGCACACGGAGGAUGCCUAGGCAACAAAAGCCGAUGAAGGACGUGAUAAGCUGCGAAAAGCUUGGUGGAGGUGCACAUAACCUUUGAUACCAAGAUCUCCGAAUGGGAAAACCUAUAUGUGUAGAUCACAUAUACGAAAGAGGUAAGUCCGUGAACUGAAACAUCUAAGUAACGGGAGGAAAAGAAAGUAAAAACGAUUCUCUAAGUAGCGGCGAGCGAACGGAGAAUAGCCUAAACUAUAUACAUGUAAGUUGGCGACGUUGUGUAUAUGGGGUAGAGGGACUUUAAUAGACUAAUAGCCAUAAAGUCAUUUUACUAGUAGAGUAAGUGGAACACAGCUGGGAAGCUGGACCAAAGAAGGUGAUAGUCCUGUAGAACAUAAAACUAUUAGUAAAAUUUAAAGCACCCGAGUAGCAUCAAGCACGAGGAAUUUGGUGUGAAUCAGCGUGGACCAUAUCACGUAAGGCUAAAUACUUUUGUUGACCGAUAGAGAAGAGUACCGUGAGGGAAAGGUGAAAAGAACCCUGAGUAAGGGAGUGAAAUAGAAUUUGAAACCGUGUGCUUACAAACGGUAGGAGCUCGCAAGAGUGACUGCGUGGAUUUUGGUUAAUCAUCCUGCGAGUUAUGAUAUAUGGCAAGGUUAAAAAGAAUGGAGCCGAAGGGAAACCGAGUCUUAAUAGGGCGACAAGUCGUAUGUCAUAGACGCGAAACCUAGUGAUCUAGGCCUGUCCAGGUUGAAGCUAAGGUAAGACUUAGUGGAGGACCGAACUCACCGCCGUUGAAAAGUUGGGAGAUGAGAUAGGUCUAGGGGUGAAAAGCCAAUCGAACUAGGAGAUAGCUCGUUCUCUCCGAAAUGCAUUUAGGUGCAGCCUUAAUUUUAAGAUAUGUGGGGGUAGAGCACUGUAUGAUCUAGGGGGCGUAUUGCUUACCGAAAUCAAGCAAACUACGAAUACCAUAUAUUAAUGAUUAGGAGUGAGUCUAUGGAUGAUAAGGUCCGUGGACAAAAGGGGAACAGCCCAGACCACCAGCUAAGGUCCCUAAUUAUGUCUAAGUGGGAAAGGAGGUGGAUAUUCACAGACAACCAGGAGGUUGGCUUAGAAGCAGCCAUACCUUAAAAGAGUGCGUAAUAGCUCACUGGUCGAGAGUAUCUGCGCCGAAGAUGUAACGGGGCUAAGACAUAAACCGAAGCUGUGGAAGAUGCUUUGCAUCUUGGUAGGAGAGCGUUCUGUAAGCCGAUGAAGGCAGGCUGUAAGGCCUGCUGGAGGUAUCAGAAGUGAGAAUGCAGGAAUGAGUAGCGAGAAGGCGGGUGAGAAUCCCGCCGGCCGGAAGUCCAAGGUUUCCAGGGGAAGGUUUGUCCGCCCUGGGGAAGUCGGGACCUAAGCCGAGGCUAAGUAGCGCAGGCGAAUGGAAAAUAGGUUAAUAUUCCUAUACCACUUAAUUAACGUUUUUACUGAUGGAGUGACGCAGGAAGGUAUGUGAGAAGGCUGACGGUUUAGCCUUUCUAAGGAAAUAGCGUGAGCAUAUAGGUAAAUCCGUAUGCUUAAACGUGAGAACUGAUGGGUAAGCACCUCUUGGUGUAAGUCACAAAUCCUACACUGCCAAGAAAAACUUCUAAGGAGGAAAUUAAGUGCCCGUACUGUAAACCGACACAGGUGGACAGAGUGAGAAACUUAAGGCCGACAGGCUAACUCUAGCUAAGGAACUCUGCAAAAUAGCCCCGUAACUUCGGGAGAAGGGGUACCUAUGAAAGUGAGUAAAGAGACAUUACAAGCAAGAGUAGGUCGCAGUGAAGAGUCCCAAGCAACUGUUUACCAAAAACACAGGUCUAUGCUAAGCCGGAAGGCGACGUAUAUGGGCUGACACCUGCCCAGUGCUGGAAGGUUAAGAGGAGGAUUGAGAGAUUCGAAUUGAAGCCCCAGUGAACGGCGGCCGUAACUAUAACGGUCCUAAGGUAGCGAAAUUCCUUGUCGGGUAAGUUCCGACCUGCACGAAUGGUGAAAUGAUUUGAGAGCUGUCUUGGCUGGAGGCCUGGUGAAGUUGUAAUGUCGGUGAAGAUACCGACUACCUGCAGUAGGACGGAAAGACCCCGUGGAGCUUUACUGUAGCUUGGCAUUGGGUUUUGGCAAUGUGUGUAUAGGAUAGUUGGGAGACUAUGAAGUAAUGGCGUCAGUUGUUACAGAGUCGCUGUUGGAAUACCAACCAUAUGUUGUUGAAAUUCUAAUCUGGUAUCGGAGACAGUGCUAGGUGGGCAGUUUGACUGGGGCGGUCGCCUCCAAAAGAGUAACGGAGGCGUUCAAAGGUUCCCUCAGGUUGGAUGGAAAUCAACCUAAGAGUGCAAACGCAUAAGGGAGCUUGACUGCGAGACUGACGGGUCGAGCAGGUACGAAAGUAGGAGUUAGUGAUCCGGUGGUUCCGUAUGGAAGGGCCAUCGCUCAACGGAUAAAAGCUA